Acanthosepion pharaonis is the source of this 104-nucleotide non-coding RNA. The record is from the annotation of a GenBank genome assembly. NCBI's taxonomy places the organism in Eukaryota, Metazoa, Mollusca, Cephalopoda, Sepiida, Sepiidae.
GGCUACAUCACAUUUAAACAGCCGCUCCCAUUCUGAAGUUAAGCAACGUCGAGCCUGAUCAGUACCUGGAUGGGUGACUGUUUGGGCAUAGCUGGUGCCGCAAG